GGGGUUGUGGUUCAGUGGCAGAGCAUGUGCUUAUCGUGCACAAGGCCCUGGGUUCAAUCCCCAGCACCA
RNAcentral lists this transfer RNA (69 nucleotides) under Ictidomys tridecemlineatus (thirteen-lined ground squirrel). RNAcentral describes it as "Spermophilus tridecemlineatus (thirteen-lined ground squirrel) tRNA". It matches the Rfam family "tRNA". Rfam says of the family: Transfer RNA (tRNA) molecules are approximately 80 nucleotides in length. Their secondary structure includes four short double-helical elements and three loops (D, anti-codon, and T loops). Further hydrogen bonds mediate the characteristic L-shaped molecular structure. tRNAs have two regions of fundamental functional importance: the anti-codon, which is responsible for specific mRNA codon recognition, and the 3' end, to which the tRNAs corresponding amino acid is attached (by aminoacyl-tRNA synthetases). tRNAs cope with the degeneracy of the genetic code in two manners: having more than one tRNA (with a specific anti-codon) for a particular amino acid; and 'wobble' base-pairing, i.e. permitting non-standard base-pairing at the 3rd anti-codon position. Lineage: Eukaryota; Metazoa; Chordata; Mammalia; Rodentia; Sciuridae. The record is from Rfam by way of RNAcentral.